AACCUAGCACACCUGCGGUGUGUACCUGCGGAAGGAUCAUUAAUGAGGACCAGACGGCGGCUCACCCCGCCCGACCUCCAACCCUUUGUGAUUACACCUCGUUGCCUCGGGGGUGGCCCGGCCUAUUUGCGGACGCGCCCCCCCGGUGGACCACUCAACACUGCAUCUUUGCGUCUGAGUCUAAAAGUAAAUCUAUUAAAACUUUUAACAACGGAUCU
This 218-nucleotide unclassified non-coding RNA is filed under the name soil metagenome. RNAcentral's name for it is "partial contains 5.8S ribosomal RNA, internal transcribed spacer 2, and large subunit ribosomal RNA". The record is from RNAcentral.